This is a long non-coding RNA of Suricata suricatta (meerkat), 237 nucleotides long. RefSeq lists it as uncharacterized. Lineage: Eukaryota; Metazoa; Chordata; Mammalia; Carnivora; Herpestidae. The record is from RefSeq and is a predicted model, not a curated record. The transcript is spliced from 2 exons.
GGCCAGCCCCAAGAUUCCAUGGAUUUUGAAAUGGUCAAGUCAGGGCUGGCAGACCCAGCCAAACGCACACCACCUCCUCUAGUGGAACGGCUUGAGACAGAGCUCCGACACCCAUCGGAAGCAGGAACGCACAGGCAGACCUACGAUUCAUUCAAAGCAAAAUAAUUCCUCCUGCCUUGCAGUGACCCCACGGUUUAUGUACUCACUUAUGCUGAAAAUAAAUACACUUUAAAGAGC